UGUAGGUGAACUUGCAGAAGGAUCAUUA
RNAcentral lists this ribosomal RNA (28 nucleotides) under Actias isabellae (Spanish moon moth). RNAcentral's name for it is "Graellsia isabellae (Spanish moon moth) partial 18S ribosomal RNA". Lineage: Eukaryota; Metazoa; Arthropoda; Insecta; Lepidoptera; Saturniidae. The record is from RNAcentral.